CCUACGGGAGGCAGCAGUGAGGAAUAUUGGUCAAUGGACGAGAGCCUGAACCAGCCAAGUAGCGUGAAGGAUGACGGUUCUAUGGGUUGUAAACUUCUUUUAUAUGGGAAUAAAACGUGCGACGUGUGGUAUUUUGUAUGUACCAUAUGAAUAAGGAUCGGCUAACUCCGUGCCAGCAGCCGCGGUAAUACGGAGGAUCCGAGCGUUAUCCGGAUUUAUUGGGUUUAAAGGGAGCGUAGGUGGAUUUUUAAGUCAGUUGUGAAAGUUUGAGGCUCAACCGUAAAAUUGCAGUUGAAAGUGGCAGUUUUGAGUAUAUUAGAGGUGGGCGGAAUGCGUGGUGUAGCGGUGAAAUGCUUAGAUAUCACGAAGAACUCCGAUUGCGAAGGCAGUUCACUAGACUGCAACUGACACUGAGGCUCGAAAGUGUGGGUAUCAAACAGGAUUAGAUACCCGAGUAGUC
This 460-nucleotide ribosomal RNA is filed under the name uncultured bacterium. Its description in RNAcentral is "partial 16S ribosomal RNA". It matches the Rfam family "Bacterial small subunit ribosomal RNA", at positions 338 to 795 of the family's 1533-position model. The record is from RNAcentral.